GAGGGUAUGGCUCAGUGGAUAGAGCACAUGCUUAGCAUGCAUGAGGUCCUGGGUUCAAUCCCCAGUACCUCCA
Molecule: transfer RNA, 73 nt
Organism: Camelus ferus (Wild Bactrian camel)
Lineage: Eukaryota; Metazoa; Chordata; Mammalia; Artiodactyla; Camelidae
Rfam family: tRNA
About the family: Transfer RNA (tRNA) molecules are approximately 80 nucleotides in length. Their secondary structure includes four short double-helical elements and three loops (D, anti-codon, and T loops).
Source: Rfam